This is a non-coding RNA of Flavobacterium reichenbachii, 80 nucleotides long. Lineage: Bacteria; Pseudomonadati; Bacteroidota; Flavobacteriia; Flavobacteriales; Flavobacteriaceae. The record is from Rfam.
CCCUAGCCCUGAUAGAAGUGGAAAUCCUUUUGUUUUUUUCUUUAAAAAACAAAAGAUUGAAACGGAUAGCAGGAUUAGCU